RNAcentral lists this long non-coding RNA (203 nucleotides) under Lupinus angustifolius (narrow-leaved blue lupine). RNAcentral describes it as "long non-coding RNA (LANG_LNC003504)". The record is from RNAcentral. Lineage: Eukaryota; Viridiplantae; Streptophyta; Magnoliopsida; Fabales; Fabaceae.
CUUUUUCAAGAAUUACUCUGUAUUUUUAUGGGAUUUUAAUUAUUGUAUUUAGUCAGCCGGUGUAACCAACUAGGUUAUUUUGGUUUUACUUGGUCCAAUCUGGUUGGUCCAGUUUUGCCACGACCAAAAACCACCGGAAGGGAUUUUUUAUUUUAAGUGUGGUACGAGAUCGUGCAUGUGAAAGGCUGACAGUUGAACCGCCC